AGUGAACGCUAGCGGUGCGCCUAACACAUGCAAGUCGCGCGACCCUUUACGGGGAGCGGCGAACGGCUGCGUAACACGUUGGAACCUACCCCAUACUCAGGGAUAACCCAGGGAAACUUGGACUAAUACCGGAUAGUCUCGUAAGAGUAAAGCUACGGCGGUAUGGGAGGGGCCUGCGGCCUAUCAGUUAGUUGGUAAGGUAAAAGCUUACCAAGACUAUGACGGGUAGCUGAUCUGAGAGGAUGAUCAGCCAGAAUGGGACUGAGACACGGCCCAU
Molecule: ribosomal RNA, 277 nt
Filed under: uncultured bacterium
Lineage: Bacteria
Description: partial 16S ribosomal RNA
Rfam family: Bacterial small subunit ribosomal RNA
Source: RNAcentral